UACGUAGGGUGCAAGCGUUGUCCGGAAUUAUUGGGCGUAAAGAGCUCGUAGGCGGUUCGUCACGUCGGCUGUGAAAUCCCGAGGCUCAACCUCGGGUCUGCAGUCGAUACGGGCGGACUUGAGUACUGCAGGGGAGACUGGAAUUCCUGGUGUAGCGGUGAAAUGCGCAGAUAUCAGGAGGAACACCGGUGGCGAAGGCGGGUCUCUGGACCGAUACUGACGCUGAGGCGCGAAAGCGUGGGGAGCAAACAGG
RNAcentral lists this ribosomal RNA (253 nucleotides) under uncultured bacterium. RNAcentral describes it as "partial 16S ribosomal RNA". It matches the Rfam family "Bacterial small subunit ribosomal RNA", at positions 524 to 776 of the family's 1533-position model. The record is from RNAcentral.